RNAcentral lists this unclassified non-coding RNA (6727 nucleotides) under Leishmania donovani. RNAcentral describes it as "gene:LdHU3.17.1490(CDS-product:hypothetical_prote in_conserved)". Lineage: Eukaryota; Euglenozoa; Kinetoplastea; Trypanosomatida; Trypanosomatidae. The record is from RNAcentral.
GUGCUGCACAUCUGCUUCACGAGGAGCGUGCGCGUGCCAACCGCCGCACAAGUCUUCGCACCCGCAUACAUAGACGCGCAGUCACACAUCAGACACGCCUGCACGUAAGGCACUCACACCGUCACACUCGCUGCUGCGCGGCUUCCUUUACCAUCGCGCCUUUUUGCUCUCACGUUAGCGCUGUCUUGACCGCUCUCCCUGUCUGUCUGUCUUCCUCUCUCCCUCGCUGACGCCCUCGCCUCGCGGAGGACUUUGUGCUACGCAGCGGGCAUACCGUUGGCUAGCUAAGGUGAGGGCGCGUCAGAAAGGAGACACCGACGAGGGGAGGGAAGGGUGGAGGGGAAGAGCAGCACAUGGGCCGCCAUGCAUAUAGACGACUGCAUGUGUGAUUGAGUCUGCAUCAGUGUGUCUGUCUCGCUCUCUUCCCCCAACGUGAGUCUUCCCGCCUCGGCUGCCGCAAAAAAAAAAACAACAACCAAAGGCUUUGUUUUGUUCUUGUGAUUCGCUGCCCCGUGUGUGUGUGUCUGUCUCGCCAUCUCUCUGCGCUCCGUGGGCCCUUUCUACUCCGUGGCCCUCACCUGAUCCCGUCGCUUAGCGCGGCUAUCAGCUGCCACCCCCUCUCUCUUCCUCUCUCGCACCCUCCUGAGCAGGCGUAUCGACCAUGCUUGAGCAAACUUAUCCCUCAGCCUGGACAGCGCCGUCGUCGCCGCCGCCGCCGCCAAUGGCAGUCUCUCGCUCCCUUUCGGGGGUUCACACAACGGCGACAACAGUGGCGAGCGCCUCCUUGCCUUCCACAAUCGGCACCACCGCGCAGUCCUACACGCUCGCCGACGCCGGUCACGGAACUCUAGGCAGCGUCCUUGGCGGCGUUCAUGACAUCAGUGCCAGUCGGUCUCCCCCUGCGACAGCGACGGCCGAGGAUGCCGGCGCCGCGUCUCUUGUCUCACGCCUGCGCGCAGAAGCUGCGUCUCGAAAGAUGCCGCGGCUACUGCGGUGCCACGCGAUGACACCGAUGCUUCUCUCCUCCGGCGAGCUGAUGACGUGGGAGCAGCCCGUUCUGUCGGCGGCGUCUUCCCUGCCCGCUGCGACGGCAGCGACGGCAACAUCGGUCGUCAGCCCCCCCACACCCAACGCUGUGCCUCCUGCAAGCUUCUUCCAGACUCCGCCUCCUCCUACGCCACCACCACCUGUACCACAGCAGCAGACACAGCAGCGUGAGCUGAGGCUGCUGCGAUGUGUCCGGCGCAGCGGUGUGCCGCUCAUCGAGCAGUUGCAGCAGCGGUGCCGCACCGCCACGGGACUCACGCAGCACCUCGUGGCGCCGCAACGCUCACCACGUGCCUCAGGCGACUCUGCUGAGUCGCCAUCACACGCGGCGGCGGCGGUUGUAAUGCGGCAGCCGUGCGACUCACUCUCGGCGCCUCUGUCGCCUAUUUCCUUUCCAUUUGGAGGUCAUUCAGGGCCGGCGUCGAUGCUGGGGCUGCACUCGUCUGCCGAGUUACUGUCCCCGGGGACGCGUCAGUUACACUGGUCCAAGCGAGGGAGGGUGCUUGCGGCUCCCCGCGCCAGCAGCGACGCGGAUGACCGACAGAGCCCCAGUGCUCGCGAAAGUGGGCUGCUCGGCAGCGUCCGUGGCGGACAGCAAGAGGAGAGCCACAGCAGCGCCCCUGGAACCCGCGUGAGUCUCAGAGAACCGAGCGAGCUUAGCAGAGAUGACCACGACAGAGGCAUGGGCACUGAAGAUGGUGCAUUGCAUCGCGUAAGUCUCUCAACCCCGCUUCUCUUCCUGGCUCCGUCUUCUCCCUCCGCGGAUGCCGACGCCGCCGCGUCGUCGGUUGCGAGCACAGCUGGAACAGCAUUGGCUCAUUCAACUACCGAGCCGGCGCACGACACGUGCAACUUGCCCCGCUCUUACUCACGACCCUCCGGCACUCGUUACCAUCUCCAAACGCCUCGAAAGGGGCAUACUGACGUUGCCCCAUCUCACUUGGUGGAUCACCCCUUGGUGAGCCGCCCGCUGCCCUUAUCGUCGGCUGAGGCCGCACAGGGCCUACUCUGCCCGCCCCGCAACGGACGUGCUUCUGCCACCGCUACUGCGCCUCACGCUCGGGACAGCCGCCCUCUCACCUUUCACAGCCACGAGGGCGGCGUGCCGAGUCUGUCGCCGUCACGCUGGCCUUCCACGUUGCAAGCGCACUCAUCUAUUUCGUUGCCUUCCUCGGCAGCAGGAGCAGCGGCAGUCCCGUUGAUGAGCAGCGCACAGCCAGGCCCCUCUCCGACCAUGUCACAGCAGCAACAGCAGCAGCAACACUCGCUUCUAUUCGCCGUUCUCCCUACCAUGUCGGUGAUUCCUUCAUCGCGGAGCAUGCCAGGGGCGACUACUGAGAUGCCCGCAGCUGGGGGAAGUGACUCUUCUACACCGCCGCUGGUGUUCACCGCGAUCGAGCCCGCCGCCGCGGACAUGCGUUCCACUAGCGGCGCCCAGUACCUCUCCCAAGAGAUGCAGCCGGCCUCCAGGUCGUCCUCUACAGCCAGCGUGUUUCCACAUCUAGCGCACGGUAACGGUCGCGGCGGAAGCCCAGCGCGUGCGUUCAUGCUCCAGCAGCACCCUUUCUCCGAGCCUGUGGUAGCCACAUCCGCGCUUGCCACGUCGUUGCUGCCAUCUCGCACCGCUACACCGCCAGGCAUCGCGGGCAGCUUGCACGAUCGCAUCGCGCAUGUCGACCCUUCUGCCACGACACCUCGGGGCACGUCGGACGCCGCUGUGGUGGGCAGUGAUAGGCCCCGCUGCGCUCAUCCGCCUCACAGUCAUCCACCAAAAGGGGCGGUGGUCGCAGCGGCGGCCGUAGCCUCUGCAGCGGCGUCGCCGUCUCGCUCCUCCGUUUUGCGGCAUCAGCAACCGCCUCCGUUGCUCUUGAAGCCGGCAGAGGGGCACCAUCGACCAGGGAUGCCACCACCGCUGCCUUCCCUCCCAGCUAUGUCGCAUGCCUGCGAGACACCGUCACGCCGCCAACAGCGACCGCCGGCAGAGCGGCGCUGUGUCACGACAGGUGGGCACGCCAGACAGCCAGAGACGGCGGUGGGCGGAACGGUGAGGGCGGCCGCAGAGAUGAUGGUGGUGCCGUCCGCGGACAUGGCAAUGCUGCUCGUGGUGCCUGGAGGUGUAUCCUCGGUGCCGGCCGCCUCCAUUGCUGCCAUGACUGGCUCCUCUGGGGACGCGCCAAGCUGGGGCAGUGAUACCCAUGCCGAUGCUGCCCUAGCCCUCAUCGAGGACGUCGUGGAAGGGGGCUCCAGCGAGGAGGGGCGGCUCGUAGCACCUGGUCGGCGCGUGGGCGGCGACGAUGGCGGCGCAGGAUCAGCCGAGACCGCCACCGAGAAGGUGGUUACCUACUUCCCGAUUCAGAAGUCCGUAUUGGCGCAGCGCAGCGCCUACUUUGCUGCCCUUCUUGACGAGGGCAGCGGCUGCGGCCCAUAUGUGCGCAGCACCCCGGACGAGUACGUGGAUCUCACAAGCCUGCUGCCACUGCCGACAAUAGCGGAACCAGCAGAGGCGCGGGAUGCCCAUCUGUGCAGGGCUGGUGGCGCGGGCGGGCCAUGCCCCAUGACGGCGAGGAUACUGCACGUGUGGCGCCGCCCAGAUCACCUCCGCAGAGGCCCCGCGGCUGCCAAAGCUUCUGAAGAUGCCGAGCCUGCCCGUUCCGUGGCGACGGCCCACCGCCAGCGCGUUCCCGUGUACUACAUCCCAACCCCGGAGACGGUGGCGUGCUUCACGGACGAUAGCAGCGGUGCCCGCCUCGGCCGCAGUGGCGCGCACUCUCGCAUCGGCACUGGUGACCCUGCGGCGGCUUCCACUGCGCCGACCCUCUCGCACGCUUGUGUAUGCCAGCUGCUUCACUACUUGCACACCGGCGUGCUCCCCAUCUUCUAUCAGCUGCCAGGGAGGACAGAAGUCACUGAGAGGGAGUCGACUGCUGCCGCCGGGAUCGCCAGCCUGCAGUCCGACGCCCUUCGCAAUGGCUUCGCUAACGACUACGCGGCAGUGCUGUGGAUGGGGCUCUAUACCGGCCUCUCCUCCCUCACCUCGUCGAUGCUUAAGCUACUCUGGCAUUUUUUGGCGCUUUCGCGCGACGUGUGGCCGUACUGGAUCGCAGCAGCGCAUUGGCGCGUGCCGGAGAUGCAGUUCAUCUGCGAGGCAUGGAUAGAGCAGCAUCUGUGCGCAAUGCUGCGAGCAUCAACGGCGCAGGGGCUGUGGCGUGGACUGGGUCUCGAUCAGGUGCAGAUGCUAGUGAGUCUGCGCAAGAAAGCACUUGAUGCGGAGGCGGAGGCGCGGGCCGCGCAGGCGAGCCCGAUGUCAAGUAACGCGUCGCCUCGCUAUUUGCGCGGGCGCACCACCACCGUCGGUGGCGCUGCUGCGGAAGCGUCGAUGAGCACCACCACCACCACGAUGCCGUCGUUUCUGCGGGAGCAGAUGAACGACAGCGACGCCGCAAGCAGCGUUGACGAUAGCGGGUCGGUAAGCGAGGAGGCGGCAGAGCAGCUCCGUGCGCAGUUCUCGCUGAGACCUCCAGCGCCUCCCGUUGCUACCAUCGGGUGGCCAGCUGAGGUGCUGAGGUACCAACAGCCGCACCCUCUGCGCCUCCGCGGCGGCAGUGGCAGUGGCAGUGGCGUUGGUACACCGAGCUUCUCGUCCUUGCAACCUGGUGCUGGUCGGGUUUCUUCUGUUGACAAUCCCCGAGUAUCACCGACUACCGAGGUCGUUCCAGUCCUGAGCCGAGACGCGGAAGCAUCUCCCUCUCGCCCUCCUCUGGAGUCGCCGUCCCCGUUCGCCUUGCCAACGCCGCCGUCCGCGCUCGCUAUUCCGCCUGCGCUCGCUACGCCGCUGGCUUUCGACGGUGUCUCAUCCCCGGGUGCGAUGGCUGGAGUCGCCAGCGCCCCUUUCAGCCGCCAAAGCAGUCGCGCCAGCACGCCCCUCUUCGCCUCCAGCGCCGCUGCGGCCGUGCGGCGCUUUCGGGGCUUCAGUGGUCGCCCCGCUGCUCUCAGGGUGGCGACAACAACGGCUACGCCUGGCAUCCCGUCGUCCGCGGCACUGACGUUCGACGACUUGAGCGGCGCGGACGGCGCACAGGCGGCCGAGGGCGCUGGCAACACGGCGGCGAUCGCCGGGGGCGCUCGAGGACACCGAACGGACCUAGGAGGCGGAGGAGAGAGCGGCGCAAUGAUGAGCGGCGCUGGACUGACUAGUCGCAUGGAAACGCCUUCUGCAGCCAACACUGCCGUCGCUUUUCGAACGCUGGUAACCACCGGAGACGCUGCCGUUCCCCGGUCGGAGGCAGCCGAUUUGCCCACGCUUGCGCAGGCCAACAUCCCUGCCCGCGCCAACGCUGAGAUGUCGCGCACCACGCCGUUCCGAUCUCCGCUAACCACACGCGGCGUCCAUGAUCUUUUCAACGACUCUCGCGCCGAGCCGCGCAGUCCGUCGCGGCUGCACGUUGCGUACCCGCCGAUUACCUCUGCCAACGCCUACUACACCACUCCACCCAAUGGGGUGGCGAUACAGCCCACGCUGCAGGUACUCGCAGACGGAGCCUGGGCCAUCGGCGGCUGCGGCCGGCUUUACACAGCUGAGACACGCGAAGAGCUGGAUAAGCGACAGGCCUACUGGUACCGCGCUGAGUGGGAGCAGCAACAGCAGCUUCCGUCGGCGGCACUCUUGACAGAAACUGAAGUGCUGGAGCGUCUCUGGACGUGGUGGCGGGCUCGCACUGAGGACUCAUCGAAUCAGCCGACCGAGAUGGAGGUGCGCGCGGUGGUUGAGAUGCUGCAGAAGGUUCGCCUCAGUGGCGCACAAGCUUCGCUGCCGUGCACGUCCUCGCGCGAUGACUCGGCGUACGACGGCUUCAGGGCACUCUUGGACGAAGAGCAACGUUGCCCGGUCGCAAGUAAAGUGGGUCUGCCCAACGCUGCUGCUGCUACGGUGCAGCCGCCACUCUAGGGCGUGUGCGCGUGUGCGCACACACGUGCGAGGAUGAGUCAUGCGCCUCACACGACUCCGGACUGCCGCACGGGCCUCUCCGUCUUACUCUUUUUUCUUUCGCUUGCUUUACUUCACAAGCAUAGCCGUGAUUGUGUGUGUGUGUUUGUGUGCGCUGCUCCUUCUCUCGCUCUCUCAGUCUGUUGCGCCCUUUCCUUCGGCAUGCAUCAUGGAUGGCGAUGCUGCUGAACACACACACGCACACACAACGGCAACAUCUCUUCACUACUUUCUCUUGCUCCUCGUUGUGCUUCUUCACCACCCACCACUGCCUGUCAGUGUCGAUAUGCGUGUAUAUAUCCCGGAAGUGUGUGUGUGUGUGCUUGUGAUGGGGCUGCCAUGCGUACGUGUUGCGCUGAGGGGUAUUGCACAAACGAUGCCGCUGCUGCAGGGGAGAGUAGUCAGGCGGAAGGUGCGGCGGUAAAGAAGGAUCGGGCGGAGACGGACAUGCGCGUCCACUGAAGUUGAGUGGUGAUGAGGGGUGAGAGCCUCACUCAUGCGCUUACCGAGCACAGAGAGCCGUCUCGGAUCCAUGCAAUGUUCACCUCAUCAUCGGAAGGAUCUCAGACGGCGGCGAGGGGGCGGCAAUGGCCUGCUCAACCUCUGCCCCUCUUCUCUGUCAUGCAGCGUGCGGUCCAACUGCAUCCGGCCUUCUCACAGGCCUCAUCCGCCUGGCUUUCGCCCACAGGGAAAGAG